This 201-nucleotide ribosomal RNA is filed under the name uncultured prokaryote. Its description in RNAcentral is "partial 16S ribosomal RNA". It matches the Rfam family "Bacterial small subunit ribosomal RNA", at positions 524 to 724 of the family's 1533-position model. The record is from RNAcentral.
UACAGAGGUCCCGAGCGUUGUUCGGAUUCACUGGGCGUAAAGGGUGCGUAGGCGGUCGGGUAAGUCUAACGUGAAAUCUCCGAGCCUAACUCGGAAACUGCGUCGGAUACUAUUCGGCUAGAGGAAUGGAGAGGAGACUGGAAUUUACGGUGUAGCAGUGAAAUGCGUAGAGAUCGUAAGGAAGACCAGUGGCGAAGGCGG